GCAGACUUACUCUGCACCCGACUUCAGCCCCAGGCGGUGCUUUUUCUGUCUGUCAGAGAAACAUUCCAGGUUCUGUGGCCACCUGACCUGACAAGGGCAAUGCAGCCACCUGGGGAUACAUGC
Molecule: small nucleolar RNA, 123 nt
Filed under: Carlito syrichta (Philippine tarsier)
Lineage: Eukaryota; Metazoa; Chordata; Mammalia; Primates; Tarsiidae
Description: Small nucleolar RNA SNORA77 (ENSTSYG00000019989.2)
Rfam family: Small nucleolar RNA SNORA77
About the family: ACA63 (SNORA77) is a member of the H/ACA class of snoRNAs that guide the sites of modification of uridines to pseudouridines. This snoRNA was identified by computational screening and its expression in mouse experimentally verified by Northern blot and primer extension analysis.
Source: Rfam by way of RNAcentral